AUUUCGAAGAAUUACACUGAUUGAAACCAUUAAGAACAGACUUAGAGUUCAUCGACAACUGGCCAAAGUAGAAAUGAUGAUUUAUAAUUUUGGAGUAUUUCCAAUUCAUUAAUAACAUUUAAUAUACAUGCAAGAUUGAUUUUUUUUUGCCAAACUGACUGCUUACGUCUCUUAAGUAAAUUCAUUACAAUACUUAGUGUUUAUUCAUGACAUAACAUUUUCAAAUUUUGAUCUGUAGUACCUAUUUCUGACUUAUUUUGUCAAUUUGUCCACAUCUCUCCCUAUUAUCUCUUUCUAGAAGUAAAAGUCUUGUACACAUUUUUUUUUUUUUGCAGUACCAGGGAUCAAACUCAGGACCUUGCACUUGUGAGGCAGGUGCUGUGCUGCUGAGCUAAAUCCCUGGGCCCUUAUUUUUAUACUAUCUAGGCCUCUAAGAUCUAAACAAGCAGAUUCUUCUUGAAUUUUUUCUUGCCUGGUGAAAGAUACGGUAAUUCAUGGAGAGGUUUGUGCAGCUCUUAGUUAUCCCUAACAUUGAUGUGCUUACACUGAAAGCAGAUUGGUCUCAGCAUUUAUGUUAUUUGUUUUCAAAUUUAAUACAUCUUUAAGGUAUCACUGUACAGGCUAAGUAGAAUAUACACUCAUUACUCUUUCUCUUAUUUUUAAAAGUGAGUUUUGGCAUAUUAAAUUUCUAAUGGCACUGAAAUUUUAACCAGGAAGACAAACAGCAAGUAGAUGAUGAUGAUGAGAUGAUGAUGAUGAUGAUGAUGAUGAUGAUGAUACUCAUGAGCAUGAUGAUUUGAUUUCUUGAGACAAGUUCUUGCUAUGUAGUUCAGGCUGGCCUUGAACUCACUAUGAAGCCCAGGAGAGCCUUGGACUCAAAGCAAUCCUCCUGCCUCAGCCUCUGAAUGCUAGGAUUAUAGGCGGGUGCUACCACUCCCAGAGCCAGUAGAUUUUUUUAAAGCGAUGAAGAUUUAACUUAUAUUUUAGUUUAUUUUAGGACACAUCAUGAGAAGACAAGGGUUUCUUUAAUCAGUUAAUUAAUAUUCAUAAUUCUUAUUCAAAAUGGCAGCAAAGCAGAUUCUAGUUCAGAAACUUUCUUGUACACUUGUACUUGUAUAUUUUCAUAUAAAGUAAAGUCUUCUACUUUUGGAUUGAUAUAUGUGCAUCUACUCACAUAUAUAUCCUAUUGCAAUUGUUAUAUUUGUACCAGUUUACAUAUGCAGAUGUUUAUAUAAACAUUAUGACUUUAUUAUAAUAUAAAAAGCACAAAUGGCCAUACAUUAUAAGAUAAUUAAUGCACUAUUUUCAAAAAUUCUUUUUCAGUACAUAAGUCACAAAUAUUUGAUUAUGAUUUUAAAAGAUCAAGUAAAGACUUCUAAAUCCAAAGCACAAUUUAUUCACAUAAAGAGUGAUUCUCCUUAAACAAUCAUAAAUACUCACAGUAAAUAUUUUUCUUACAGUGCAAUUUUGACUCUGGUGUUAAAGUAGUAGGUUUGUUUUCCUUUGGUUAAGUGAAGAAAAUUGAACUAUUAUAAAUGAUGAUUUGUUUAGCUGUAAGUAAACCUUAUUCUUAGCAUAAAGAUUUGUCCUAGAAAAGAUGGGGGCUCUUGUUCCAAACAUAAAAAUUAAGGAUGUGCAUUCACACACCUAUCCACUUAUAAUAACACUCCUCCUGCCCCGGUGGCACAAAAUCAGGACAAUUUAUUAGGUUACACUAGCAAUGAACGGCAGUUCCUCUAAAACUAAAAUAUGUAUGUUGAAACAGAUUUCCAGAUUGUCUGGUGGGUCUAGUGAAAUUGUUUCCUCCAUUGUUAUUUGAUAUAUCAACAGAUGGUUAACACGUGUAUGAUCACAUAACAGAAUUCUUUGUGAUCUGUGAUCAGCCUUCAAGAAACUCAUUAUUUUAUCUCAAUUUGCAGAUGACUGUAAUGCUAAAAAAGGGAGAACUUUGACCUUUGUUAAUACUGAUCUCUUCUAGUUCAGGUGUAAGUUAUGAAAGGAUAGAAAACUGAAGGUCAGAAUACUAGAAAAUGAAAGGUCGUAUGUGAUUAGAGUUGCAUUUUGAUGUUAUACAAUACAUUAUGCAAUGUGGUUGGAGAAGUAUUAAAAAUGAUUUGUCUGCUGUGUAUAAGCAGAUACCUUAAGAAGUAAUUAAACGUAAGUUUCAGUGCCUCUCACUUAGACAAGAUCCUUCCAAUAUCUUGUAUCUAACUUUACAUUAGGAAUUUUACAUUAAUUUUCCUGAAGAAGACCAGGAAAAUUAUAUAUAUUUCUGGCCACAUAAAAUCCGCAUCUGUCUUUAUAAGGUAAAAUAACUCCCCUAUGGGAUAUUUAAUAUAUAUGUUAAGUAUUAAAGCUAUCCUUUAACUGAUGUAUUUACAUCUACUUUUUAAUGGCUUUCUUGUGAGAUAUGUGACAUAUAAGAAAAUAGUUUUACCUUUGUCAGAUUUUAUGUGUUGGUUUUGAAGGAAAGAAACACAAUGAGUGGGAUUAAAAUGGUAGGUAUUUUUCUUAGUUUAGAAAAAAACAGAGAUUUGGGAUUUGAAUACAGAUGACUCAAGAAAUUUGAUUUUACUUGAAUAUAGUGUUGCUUCAUUUUCCUCUACAUGAUAUACAGUAUGUUGGUGCUGAUAGUGUUUACAGGGUUAUUUUUUGUUUUCCUAACUAUUUGAAAUCAGCAAUUAAGUCAUGCUAUUGUGGAACUGGCAAGAAGAUAGUAGUAGAUAUAAAUUAAAAUUGAUAAUUUAACAGUAAAUUUUUGAAAGUAAACCUUUCCUCUUUUCAUUGCAUUUUCAAAUUAGUUUGGAUCUAAAACUAAGUAUUUUAUAUAUUUUUAGCAUAAAUACGGAUUCAAAAAACAUGAAUCAUGGUCUUACAGAAAGCACCAAAUUUCCUUAUGAUGUGAGCUGUCUUCCUUACAACCUCAUAUCAAUAUUAACUUGGUCCUUUUGAAGCAUUUUUGUUUUAUUUGAAUAAAUUAAUGACAUCCUUUAUUUCAUUUUUGACAUUAUACUCUUAAGAUAGGAAGUGAAUUUUAAUUUAUAUUUGCACAAUUAUCUAGAUUUUCUUAGUUUGAAUCUACCACAUAGGUUUACUUUCUUGGGAAGUUUUUUUCCCCUCUCAUCUAUGUUACCUUUGGGUUAAAAUGCACAGAGUAUUGUUUCAGACUCCAAAUAGCUGUCUUGUAUAUGUGCAUAUGUCAGCUUAUUUGGAUCAAAGUACAUUUAUUAUAUCAAUAACUGCCUAUGCAAUUUUAUAGAUAAAGAUUCUCUCAAGAAACUGUGGUGCAUUAGGCACCUGAGAGACAAUGCAGACAGCUGCAGUGAUUGAAACAGAACAUAUUUUUUUAACCCUCUCUCUCUCUCUCUCUCUCUAUAUAUAUAUAUAUAUAUAUACACUACUGACUUUUUUAAGGCAUGCUUUUCAAGUGAAUUACUUUAUUGGUUAGAAAACCUGCUUGCUAAGACCUUUUUACCUCUCGUCGAAGCCUCUAGAAGACCAUGAUGAAAGGCAGAGGGGAAGAGAAAAGAGAUUAAGGCAGUUAUUUCUUUUGUAGCAGUGAUGAUAUUUUGAGUACCUUUUCUGACAGGGUGUUUUGCACAGCAUCUUGUGGGGAAAUAUGUUAGGUCUUUGGAUGUUACAGCUGCAUAAUUGGAUAACAAGUGGUCUGACUGUAAUGUGACUAUGAAGUUAGACCUCACAUAUUCCUACUAACGAACCUUAUUAGAAGCAUGGUAGGAAAUACCCUCAUAUCACACUGGGAUACAAUGCAGUGUCGUUCCCUCAUCCUAGGUUUGAACUGUCUUAUUUCAAAGGAUUUCUAAAUUAAUUUGUGCUAGAAUUUCUCCUUCAUUGCAAAUUCUGCUUACUAAUAUAAUGUGAAAAUAUAUUAAAGUAGAAAAAUACUUCGGAGAAAUUAAACAUAUUGUUCGAAAUGAUUAUAUGGUUCUAAAAGAGAAAAAGUUCUUGAAUGGAAACAACAACAAUGUGCGGGUGCACACACACACACACACACACAGUUGUUACAAAACCCACCAGAAUUCAACAAUUCUAAGUAAUCUGAUCCUUUCCUUGAAAAAUUUAUUCGAUAGUUUUUCCUUGUGAAUCUUACUACUACUGCUACAAAUCUAGAACUAAAUUUUUAAAACUUAAUCUUGAAAACUGGGCCUUUUCUCCUCCUCCUCCUCCUCCUCCUCUUUCUCUUCCUCCUUCCCCUCUUCCUUCUUUUCGCCUUUCUUCUUUUUUGUACUGGGGAUUAAACCCAAGGAGUGCUGAGCUCUUUUGUUAAUUUUUACUUUGGGGACAGAGUCUCAUAAGUUGCCCAAGCUGAGCUUGAACUUGUGAUCCUCCUGUGUCAGCAUCCUAAUGUCUGGGGUCACAUGCAUGCGCCACUGUUCCCUGGUAGGUUCUUUUUUGGACGUUAUCCAUGUUCACUAUUUAAGAGUUCCUAAACUAUUUACAAAGACUUUGCUAAAAUGUACCAAUAAACUUAAUGAGAAAAAAAAUAGUUCCUAGAAUCCAUAGCAAUAUUAGGAUAUACUUUGCUUUAAAAUGUUGCUUAUUUAGGGCACAAACAUCGGCCCCAAAUUUCUCCCUCUCUGGAGAUGGAAUGCAGUACAAUAGUAAUGUUUUCAGCAUAUAAUACUUAACAACAUUUGGGAACUUUGCAAAUAUAAGCAUCAGAUGUGUUUUUUCCCUGUGCCAAACAGGUGAACAAACAUGUGUUUUACAGAUGCUAAGUAUUGGCUGCCUGUGGUUUUAUAAUAAGCAUGUGCCAGAAGAGGCAAGACAAAUGGCCUCUUGUACUGAAUGCUUGGUGACCUUCAUCUGUCUUACUUUUCUGACAAGGAUUUAAAUCUAAAUUUCAUAGAGCUUGGCUCUCACUUAUCAUAGAGUGGAUUACCUGGUAGUAAUGCACUGGUAGAUGGUUUUUAGUUAUUAAUUCAGAGUUCAUCUCACGAUGAAUCUUUUAUGUAUUUUUAUUGUAAGUAUAUCCGGAUUUACUUUAUAAAAAAUGUGUCUUUGUUUUUAGCUUUUUCUAAAAUAUGACCCAGUAAUAAUGGCAUUUUUCAUUUGUCAAGGGAUAGAAAAAUUUGUUUUUGUGUUGGUAUGUUUAUAUUAACAUUAUUAGGUACUAUACAUAAAUAUAUUUAAAUACCUUUUAUGUUCUAUGGCAAUAAUUUGCAUUAAUGGAAUCAAUUUAACUAAAUGACAAAGUGAUAGGUUAUUCUUAAAGUUUAUUUAUGCUGGAAGUCUUCCCUUUGAUCUGUACUUACGCUAGCUAUAAUUAACAGAACAGCUAGAUCCUGAAGUUUGAUCUGGAAUGUGUUUGUGAUGACCUUGUGCCAUUCCCCAAAUGGUGAGAGCCUGAUGAGUUUGGUCUGGUGAUCUAAAAUACAGAACUAGGAAGAUCCAGCAAAGACAGAGUGGUCCUCAUCUCUGGCAUCAUUUCUUCGCUCUGGUAUUGUAGCUAUGAAACCUGAUAGAGAUGAUAGUGUGCACUUUGUAAAAAUUUAACCCAGUGUCUUAAAUUGUCUGACAAACUCUUAAAGAGAAAAAUUGCUUUUCUGCAUCUAUGUUCCAACCACCUUAGGAAUACAGAGGUAUUAAACUAUGAGAAGAUAAAUGGUACAGGGGGACUUUCCUGUGUGGGUUGUGUUGUUUGUCUUAGGGUUCUUUGGCACUGGGGCCUGUACCAACAUGUGAUCUGUGAAAUGAAAUAGAUUCUUCUACAGUUAAAUGAUUUCCCUCUGGGGAGAGUUCUGGUGCAGCAGUCACACUGCCAGAUGGUGUUUAUGGGCUAUUUAUGAAAGUGGUAAGACACUAUGAAACAAGUGUGCUUUCAUCUGAUGGGAACUCUACGCAUGUGGUUUUGUAUGGAAUGAAUGUUGGUGCAAUAGGAUUCCAUUCAAAAUUGCAUUGAAUUUAAUUUUAGUUUUGUGUAUAUGUAUACCUGUUAUGCUUCUAGUGGCUUCAGUUUUAUAUUGGUUUUUGUACAUACUUUUUCUUGAAAUGUUUUAAAAAGACAUUUAAAUAAACAUUUGAUAGCUU
This is a long non-coding RNA of Heterocephalus glaber (naked mole-rat), 6051 nucleotides long. Lineage: Eukaryota; Metazoa; Chordata; Mammalia; Rodentia; Bathyergidae. The record is from Ensembl.